UUUCGUCGGCUAUACGAUACUUUAGCCGAUGAAAUUUUUUUUCGUCGGCCAAAGUUUUCCUUCGUCGGCCAAAGUUUUUACUCGUCGGCUAAAGUAUUUUAGUAAACGAAAAAAAAUCUCGUCAGCUAUUAUCGAAAAAAGUCGUCGGCUAAAAGAAAAAAAUAAAAUGUUGUAUAACUUGUUUAGUAGGUUUUAAACAAAUACACAACUUUGUGAACCAACUCUACAUAGAAGCAAAAUUAACAAAAAUCUCGUGAAAUAAGAUGUGUUUAGAACGGUGAAAUACGGCUAUGGUUCAAAAAUCAUGUAAAUCAGGUAACGUCUCUCUGAUGUAGAACAGUCGAAACCCGGUAUUAACUAUGCUGCAGAUUUGACAUUUAGCGUCCGAUUAACUAUUGUGAUACCUUUCCGGAAGCGUAACGGCCCUACUAGUCAAACUCAUUGCUAUGCUAUGAUAUUUGGGCCUUUUUGGCCAUCCGAGUCCAUUUAGGGAUUCAAAAUGCAGUUUUCUUAUUUCUAAUUAGAGUUGACCGUUUCGAUCGAGCCCUUAAGUUUGUCGAAUCCAGUUGAAUUUUUUACCAUAGACAUCUUUCGUCAUAAUGAUCAUAUCUGAUGGUCGAAUUUUGGUUUGUGAAUUUUAGUCAUCGGAAUCACAACGUGUCUACUAAUGUUGUAUAACUUGUUUAGUAAGUUAUACAACAUAGAAAGCAAAAUUAUCAAAAAUCUUGUGAAAUAAGAUGUGUUCAGAAUGAUAAAAUACGGCUAUGGUUUAAAAAUCACGUAAACUGGUUAACGUCUCGGUGCCGAUAGUAGCGGGUCAACCCUAUUUACCGUUAUUAUUCCCUCUGGGGAGACCUAUCGUCGGAAGGUAAAUGUCUCAAAAUUUUUGUUAUGGGCAGUUGCGUCUCAUCUACGUGAGAGUUUUUCAUGUGGAAGGUUUGACCAAAAAUAUGUAAUAUAGAGGGAGAUAUGAGC
This 975-nucleotide long non-coding RNA is filed under the name Fragaria vesca (wild strawberry). RNAcentral's name for it is "long non-coding RNA (FVES_LNC005004)". Lineage: Eukaryota; Viridiplantae; Streptophyta; Magnoliopsida; Rosales; Rosaceae. The record is from RNAcentral.